GUUUUCAGUUAUGUAUGAGCAACCUGAAGGCUCAGGCACGAAUAAAGGAAAAAGGAAAGCUGAUCGAAUAAGUGUGUAUUAUGAGUUAAUGGUUAUAGUUGUAUUGGUAUCUGUUCAAGUAUUGUAAGGAAUGUAUUUGAAGGUCACGCACCUGGGGAAGUAAACUUUGAUGUAUGUAAAUUAAGUUCGAAUGUAUUAUUAUUUAGUAUUAUUCAGCUUAAAGAAAUUGUAUCGUGGAG
Molecule: long non-coding RNA, 239 nt
Filed under: Panax ginseng (ginseng)
Lineage: Eukaryota; Viridiplantae; Streptophyta; Magnoliopsida; Apiales; Araliaceae
Description: long non-coding RNA (PGIN_LNC016553)
Source: RNAcentral